This 338-nucleotide ribosomal RNA is filed under the name Thyroptera discifera. RNAcentral's name for it is "partial 12S ribosomal RNA". It matches the Rfam family "Bacterial small subunit ribosomal RNA", at positions 531 to 989 of the family's 1533-position model. The record is from RNAcentral. Lineage: Eukaryota; Metazoa; Chordata; Mammalia; Chiroptera; Thyropteridae.
GGCCCAAACAAAUGAACAUACGGCGUAAAGCGUGUUUAAGACCCAUUCCUAAUAAAGUCAAACUGUAACUAAUCUGUAAAAAGUCCCUAGUUACUGUAAGCCCUAUAACCAAAGUAACUUUAAUCAUCUGACUACACGACAACUAAGACCCAAACUGGGAUUAGAUACCCCACUAUGCUUAGUUUUAAACUAGAAUAAUUAUUACAACAAAACUACUCGCCAGAGAACUACUAGCUAAAGCUAAAAACUCAAAGGACUUGGCGGUGCUUUACAUCCCCCUAGAGGAGCCUGUUCUAUAAUUGAUAAACCCCAAUAAACCUCACCGACCCUUGCUAAUU